This is a long non-coding RNA of Mangifera indica (mango), 1409 nucleotides long. RefSeq lists it as uncharacterized. The transcript has 2 exons. The record is from RefSeq and is a predicted model, not a curated record. Lineage: Eukaryota; Viridiplantae; Streptophyta; Magnoliopsida; Sapindales; Anacardiaceae.
AUUUGCAUUGAUGUUUCUUCUUUUCCCCUUUAAUAUAAUUUUGGGGUAGUUUGUAGGCGUCUUCAAUAAAUUGCACCUUAGGUGCACAAAUUUUCCAUUUUCCCUUUAACAUGAUGACAGAAUUUUUAUUUCAUACAUUUCUGUGCAAGCUUAGGCUAUAAUACAGCAGUUUGUGGGUCUUUUGUGAAAUGUUGUUCACAAGUUUGGAGUAUUGAUAGCUGCCCAUUUUGAUAACCUAUUGUCAAUGAACAGAUUGUGGGGAAUUUUUUUUUUCUUUGUGCUUUUCACCCCAUUUCCCUUGAUUGUUUUUCGGAAACCUACUGGAUGGGAUUUACCCUAAAUGCAUGUGAACCCUUUUCUUUAGUUAUUUUUUCACUUUUCAAUCUCUUCUUGCUUUUUCUGUUGGGGUGGAGGAGUUGUUGAAGUUAGAUUUUGCAGUCUAGUAGCUUACAAGAUUAGCCCUAUAUACUGGUUUAUUGCUGAAUUGACUUUUUGUGGGAAUUUUCUCCAGAUGGACGGUAUGUUCUAAGUACAUAUAGGGAUUUCAAGAUUCGUGUUACUGUGUUCCCCAAAAAGCCUAUAGAUGGAGCCCAUGAGAUGCAGAGCUUUUGCCUUGGCCAUACAGAGUGAGUUUUUACAAUCCAGUUUUCCUUGAGUUGAUUUAUUCCAGACACUACUUAGUGUUGUUAAGCUUGAGGAUGGAAGAAAUCUUACAAAAAUAAAUGAUACUUAUGAAGUGAAUUGAUGGCAUUUUGUCCAGUUUCUGAAAUGCAUCAAACAUGAAGCAUAAUUAGAUUAAAAUUUACCAUGUGGGUUGCCCGGAUUACUUUAUAUCUGAAUAAUGUGAUUCUUGCUGGUAGUUUCCUUCAAGGGAGAGAACAUAUGCUGUAGCUCUUCUGGAGGACUAUCGCGGAUGGUGACUCGGGUCUUCAACUUGCUUGUUUUUAUUAUUCUUCUUUGUCCCCAGUGAAGGUCAUUUCGGGUUUCAACAAGGUCUCCGGAUUCUGUUGAGCUUGAGCCUACUGCAAUGGAAGAUAAUGCCAUACCUGGUGGAAUGGAACUGCCAAAGAAGUUAAAAGGAAGUGUUUCUGUUGAGGAGAAGGUGUUUUUGGCAGCUGCUGAAGCUGUAAAAACUGCAAUGUGCAUUUUGCUGGCCAAAAAGCAGUACUCUUCAGAGAAAAGCGAAUUUAGAAAGAGAACAAAAAAUGAUAGAAAAUUCAAACAAUAACAGGACUUUAUACCAACAAAACUCUUAUCAUUUAUCUAAAUUUUUGUAGGGAUCCAAAUUUCAAGCAUGCUAUUGUUCGGACAGGAAGUUCUGUAAUGUUAGUUGUGCCCAUUUGUUAGAAAAUGACGACUGUAACAUUGAACAAAUACUGGCAAGGUUAGAUGCCUGCUAUUUUGUUUUC